Non-coding RNA from Heterocephalus glaber (naked mole-rat), 408 nucleotides. Ensembl annotates it as small Cajal body-specific RNA 2. The record is from Ensembl. NCBI's taxonomy places the organism in Eukaryota, Metazoa, Chordata, Mammalia, Rodentia, Bathyergidae.
UUUCACGGGAGGGAGAGCGGCCUGGGGUGAGGGUGUAUGCGUAGAGUGUGUCGUGGAAGGUGCGUGUGGGCCGCGUGUAUGAAUGGCUGCAUGAAUGAAUGCGUGAAUGGGCGUGCAAGGCAAGCGAGAGAUUCCCUCAGCGCCUCCUCCCCCCGUCUACACCUUGAUCUUAUUUGAUCGGGUCGUGACCGCAGCCCCGCCGGGCCACCCCGAAAUGAAAAGCUCCCCUCCUGCGAAGCCCCCUGCUCGGGGCGCUGUGCAGCGAGGCCCUAUUGGCGGCGGCAGAGCCGUGGUUCCGAGGUCCCGGAGCUGGUCCUGCGGGCCCGGCGCUCAGAAGUGAUGAAUUGAUCAGAUAGACGAGGCCGGGCCUGCCCCGGGCCGCUGAUUACCGAGGCGAUUCUGAUCUGA